AUGGAAAAACAUCUUGUAAUGUAUUUAACCAGAAAAUCGAUUAUGCUCCUGCGGAAGUAUCUACUCGUAAUGGAAUUUCAGGUGUCAAAGUGCGGAUCUCAUAUAGUCAAAAUAAGAAGGGACGUGCUAUAUCCGAAACGUACGAAAUAUAGUAAAUAUUUUAAAUGCAGAUGUAGUAGGGGUCGCGAACCGGAUGGUACACAACUUGGUUUUGGAAGAUAUGGCACCAAAAGUUGUAGAGCUGGUCGUCUUUCAUAUCGAGCCAUUGAAGCAGCGCGUCGGGCUACAAUCGGACAAUUCCAUCGUGCUAUGAGCGGACAAUUCCGAAGAAAUUGUAAGAUAUGGGUAAGAGUUCUCGCAGAUCUUCCUAUUACGGGGAAACCCGCAGAAGUUCGAAUGGGAAGAGGAAAAGGAAAUCCGACGGGUUGGAUUGCUCGUGUGUCCAUGGGACAAAUCCCAUUUGAAAUGGAUGGUGUGAGUUUGUCAAAUGCUCGACAAGCCGCUAGAUUAGCGGCGCAUAAACCAUGUUCGUCAACCAAGUUUGUUCAGUGGUCGUAA
This 558-nucleotide ribosomal RNA is filed under the name Triticum aestivum (bread wheat). RNAcentral describes it as "partial small subunit ribosomal RNA". Lineage: Eukaryota; Viridiplantae; Streptophyta; Magnoliopsida; Poales; Poaceae. The record is from RNAcentral.